This 1332-nucleotide unclassified non-coding RNA is filed under the name Leishmania donovani. Its description in RNAcentral is "gene:LdHU3.10.0170(CDS-product:WD-repeat_containi ng_protein)". The record is from RNAcentral. Lineage: Eukaryota; Euglenozoa; Kinetoplastea; Trypanosomatida; Trypanosomatidae.
CAGUCGCUCUUUCUUUCCUCCCUUCCACGCGCAUCGGGCCGACGACGUGGUCGUGUGAUCCGUCAUCGGCAGCGACCCACGCGUACGCGCGUGCAAACGAAAAUCGAGUCUGAAGAUGGAGGGAUCCAGGACGAGUGACGGCACGGCGCUGGCGACAGCGCCACCCUUGCUGCUGCCCAGCAGCGCUCCGCAAGGUGUGCAGGUACGGAGGACUGCGGCGCUCAGAGGUCACAAAGAUCGCGUCUGGUGCGUGCGCUGGUGCCCCACGGCCCCUGUGCUCGCCUCGUGCUCCGGUGACACCACUGUCAAGUUUUGGGGUCGCAGUCGGUCCGCGGAGAACGGCUGUGAGGCGUGGACGUGCCUCGGCACCUUGGAAGGGGAGCAUAGUCGCACCAUUCGUCACAUCAGCUGGAGUCCCAGCGGUGAAUACAUUUCGUGUGCCUCGUUCGACCACACAGCUACUGUGUGGCGGCGCAACGGCGGCGACGACGGGUACGGCUUCGAGAUCGAGGGCGUUCUGGACGGGCACGAGAGUGAAGUGAAGUGUGUCGAGUGGGCGACCGACAGCAUGCUCGUCACGAGCGCGCGCGAUCGUACAGCGUGGAUUUGGGAGCGCGUGGAUGAAGGCGAAUACGAAUGCGGCGGUGUCUUGACGGGGCACGCACAGGACGUUAAGCACUGCCAGUUUGUGCUGCCACACAACGAUGGCGACGUUCCGCUAGUCGUGACGUGCGGGUACGAUGAUACAAUCAAGGUGUGGUCCGAGGGGCACCACCACGAUGACUGGCAGUGUGUGCAGACGAUGGCGGCGCACGAGGCCACCGUCUGGGCCACAGCCCUCCAGAAACUCGAGGUGCCGAUGGAGCUGGUCAGGGCGUCUCACGCCAGUCAUGCGCCUCUGCCCCAGCCUUUGCUCUGCAGCUGCUCAGACGAUCUGUCCAUCAUCUUCUGGAAGCGCGACGCCGAGGGCAGGUUCGUGGAAGCCGCCCGCAUCUCUGGCUUUGCAGAGCGCUCUUUGUUCGACGUGGACUGGGCACCGCACAACGCACCAGUGGUGGCCUGCGCCAGCGGUGACAACAGCUUCUCGCUUCUGGGUGUCUACGAGGAUGAAACGGGCGUGCACACCUGCACUCUGGCGCGCGUCGCGGAUGCGCACUUGGCGGAUGUCAACAGCGUCAGCUUCGCUUCUCAAGGGACCCUCACAGCGUGCAACGCGGAGGGCGAAAAGACAGGCAUACUGCUGGCCACUGCUGGCGAUGACAACGUGAUCCACCUGUGGACCGUGUCCGCGGAGACGGAGUGAGUAACCCAACGCUGAAAAGCGAAAGACGU